GACGAACGCUGGCGGCGUGCUUAACACAUGCAAGUCGAACGGUGAAGCGCCUUCCUUUUUGGUGGGUGUGGAUGAGUGGCGAACGGGUGAGUAACACGUGAGUAACCUGCCCCCUUCUUCUGGAUAACCGCAUGAAAGUGUGGCUAAUACGGGAUAUUCUGGGUCUGUCGCAUGAUGGGUCUGGGAAAGAUAUUGUUUCGGUGGGGGAUGGGCUCGCGGCCUAUCAGCUUGUUGGUGGGGUGAUGGCCUACCAAGGCGGUGACGGGUAGCCGGCCUGAGAGGGUGGACGGUCACACUGGGACUGAGACACGGCCCAGACACCUACGGGAGGCAGCAGUGGGGAAUAUUGCACAAUGGGCGCAAGCCUGAUGCAGCGACGCCGCGUGAGGGAUGGAGGCCUUCGGGUUGUGAACCUCUUUCGCCAGUGAAGCAGGCCUGCCUCGUUUGUGGGUGGGUUGACGGUAGCUGGAUAAGAAGCGCCGGCUAACUACGUG
Molecule: ribosomal RNA, 494 nt
Filed under: uncultured bacterium
Lineage: Bacteria
Description: partial 16S ribosomal RNA
Rfam family: Bacterial small subunit ribosomal RNA
Source: RNAcentral